UAAAAUUAUUCUCAGUUCGGAUUGUAGUCUGCAACUCGACUACAUGAAGCUGGAAUCGCUAGUAAUCGUAGAUCAGCAUGCUACGGUGAAUACGUUCCCGGGUCUUGUACACACCGCCCGUCACACCACGAGAGUUUGUAACACCCGAAGCCGGUGGAGUAACCUUUUAGGAGCUAGCCGUCGAAGGUGGGACAAAUGAUUGGGGUGAAGUCGUAACAAGGUAGCCGUAUCGGAAGGUGCGGCUGGAUCACCUCCUUUCUAAGGA
RNAcentral lists this ribosomal RNA (265 nucleotides) under Mammaliicoccus sciuri. RNAcentral's name for it is "Staphylococcus sciuri partial 16S ribosomal RNA". It matches the Rfam family "Bacterial small subunit ribosomal RNA", at positions 1277 to 1533 of the family's 1533-position model. The record is from RNAcentral. Lineage: Bacteria; Bacillati; Bacillota; Bacilli; Caryophanales; Staphylococcaceae.